Long non-coding RNA from Eurytemora carolleeae, 917 nucleotides. RefSeq lists it as uncharacterized. NCBI's taxonomy places the organism in Eukaryota, Metazoa, Arthropoda, Copepoda, Calanoida, Temoridae. The transcript is spliced from 3 exons. The record is from RefSeq and is a predicted model, not a curated record.
ACAGUACAUUUCUAAACUUCAGGGUCAAACAGUACAAAUUGCUCAGCUACCUCAAGGCCAAUAUGUUCAAAUCAUCCAUCCCAUGCAAGCUCAGAUCCAUCACGAAUCUGAAGGAAGUAGCGUGGAUAAAUCUCAACCCAGUCCCAAGCAUAGAUAGUUAAAAUUGUAUCAGACAUUAAUGGGACUGUAUAACUUGAAAUUACGCGUACAGUCCCUUUAAUUAGUUCCCUUUUAAUACGUUCUCUUCUAAACAAACAAGAUAAAGAUAAGAAUGUAAAAACGACUUCAAAUAGUUACAAGAAUUUUAAAACAACUAAGUUCUAGAGUUAUUGUUGCAAGUUUUAAACCAACGCUCGGACAUUGCUAAUCUGAUUGACAGUUGAAACUUUUGAUUUGAAAGCAAUUAAAUGUACGUAAUUUCAUCAUAAUUUCACCUUUUUUAAUUUGUGAAAACAGCUGACUAGCAUUUUAAAUGAGAUUUAGAAUAGAUAUUUUAAAUGAGAUUUAGAAUAGAUAUUUUAAAUGAGAUUUAGAAUAGAUAUUUUUUAUUCUUUUGAUUGGAAAAGCUAUUAGAUGUAUCUCAAAGGAUUUAACUUCUGUCAGAUGUGGAUUAGAGCUUACUGAAUGGAUUAACAAAAGACCUCUAAUAUUCAGUCGAUAUCAAUGUUUUCACGUUUUUCCCAAUCUUAGAUGUUUGUUUACAUGCCUGUCAACUGAAGGGUUGUUUACAUUUCUCCAAGUUGCUUUGUUUACUUGGUUUUGUUUAUUUUACUGCUACAAAUAUCUAAAACUUAUGCAAAUUGUAAUUUCAUGAAUUUAAAAUGACUACUUUCUCAAAGUAACUUAAUUAUGCAUGUUAUUAUUAUUUAUGUUAUUUAUUAGUUAUUUAUUGUAGCGAUAUUUUAAAGAUGAAAAUU